This 1337-nucleotide unclassified non-coding RNA is filed under the name Hevea brasiliensis (rubber tree). Lineage: Eukaryota; Viridiplantae; Streptophyta; Magnoliopsida; Malpighiales; Euphorbiaceae. The record is from RNAcentral.
GGAGUAGAUAACUUUAUUACAGAUAUGAGUUGGAUAGAUGAUUUCAGUUUCCAGCAAGUUAUAAUUGUGCACCAAGAACAGGGGCUCAUGCACGUUUAAAAUGAGGGAGGUUUGGAAUACCAUCUAAUCCUUUGGACCUGAAGAAGGCCAAGUACUCAGCAAUAUGAGUUUCCCUGUAUAUGGGUGGAUUGCCAGAUAGAAGUUCCUGUACUGCUCCAUAGGGUUUAAAUUUAUUUGCUGUACUUGGAUAGAAAAAGCAUGCUAUUGAAGUCCUGGGCCUGAUCCCUCCAGCUAAUACUCUAUGCUCCACGCUCCUGAACUUGUCAUUGCUGAUAAGCUGCAUGAAGUCCCCUAUGUUUACUACAAGAGCUCCUUCUUCAGGAGGCACAUCAACCCAUUGAUUUUGAUGAAGAACUUGGAGUCCACCUGUGUUGUCUUGCAGCAGUAUGGUGAGAAAAGAAGGGUCUGUAUGCUUGGUGGUGCCAAGGGUCAAGUCUGGCUCAGGGCAAAUGGGGUAGUAGUGGCACACCAAAGAUUCAGUUUCCAUGCACUCUAACUCUGAAAGGUAGUCUCUGCGAAGCCCUAGUGCCUCUGAUAAUAGUUCACUUAUUGUCUUACUCAUCUUUAUCACGUGCUUUAUGUAUUCACUCACAGCUUCUCUGCAUAUCUGAGGAUAGAGGCAGGGGUCUAGUUCUCCGUCCUGAAAAUCAAAUGCUAUGGUAUCUCUCCAGUUUGCUGGUGAUUUAUUAACAAGGAGAUCUCCAUUGCAGAAGAACCUCACUGGGCGCUUAGAGUCUCGAGAGUACCACUCCAUCUUCACCUCCUGGGGUUGCUCGUGGAAUCGUUUAACACUUGCCAACAUCUCAUCCAGAACAUUAACUGGAAUUCCAUGAUUAAUCAUUUGAAAGAAACCCCAUGUUUCUGAUGCAUUUCUAAUCUCAUUAAUCACCUUAAGCCGCCGUCCACAUGUUUCAAUGCCUUCCAAGUCUAUCACCGGGACCUGCUGGAGGUUGCUACUGCUAUAACUUGUGUUAGAUGAUGAUGAUCUCUGCACGUUCUCUGGUGGGUGGACAAAAAAAGUAGGGAUCUUGGUCACACCAGAGUCAACUAGUCCUUUAACACCAGCUCUAGUGUCAUCAAAUGCCUUCACUUGCUUAGCUUUGUUGUAUAUGGACUCAUCAUCUUGAUCACGGGGAACUGAAUUUGCAGCAGUGGAAAUGAUCACUUCCAUGCCUUCAAAUGAUGGGCAGUGGUGUAUGGGCGAGAGAGACCUGCGUCUAAAUAUAAAGCAAUUAAUGGUGGCCAUUAAUUCAAACAUAAGGGAGAAAAAAAAAAAA